RNAcentral lists this transfer RNA (77 nucleotides) under Vibrio parahaemolyticus. Its description in RNAcentral is "tRNA-Met". The record is from RNAcentral. Lineage: Bacteria; Pseudomonadati; Pseudomonadota; Gammaproteobacteria; Vibrionales; Vibrionaceae.
CGCGGGGUGGAGCAGCUUGGUAGCUCGUCGGGCUCAUAACCCGAAGGUCGUAACCCGAAGGUCGUCGGUUGCAACCA